Passer domesticus (house sparrow) is the source of this 1030-nucleotide long non-coding RNA. RefSeq lists it as uncharacterized. NCBI's taxonomy places the organism in Eukaryota, Metazoa, Chordata, Aves, Passeriformes, Passeridae. The transcript has 4 exons. The record is from RefSeq and is a predicted model, not a curated record.
CAAGGCUGCCCUCACAUGCAACAUAACCUUUGCUCUGCACUCCUGUUGUCCAGCAGCCUCCUCCAUUCUACAAGGGGUUUUUUGUCUUUCCCAAUAUAUCACAAAUGGAGAUGAAGGAAGAGAGUGGUUGAAGAAAAGAAAGUGAAGUGGUACAGAAAAGGAAAAGUCAAGUGAUCAGCCUUUGGCUUAAAUCAUUCCAAUGGUUAACCAUGAACCUAGUUUUGUUCUGCUGCCCUGAGCACCAGAAGUUCCUGCAAAGUUCAUCAACUAGUUGGAACAUGCUCGCAGGUUUAUAGUCUUCAUCUGAGGAAUAGUAUGGGACUUUUGUGAAGAUUAUUUUGCAAAUAUGGGAUGUUUUAAUGUGAUAAUAAAAAUUGAGAUGGAAAUGAAAAUGUACUGACUGAGAGGGUUCAGAGUCUGUAGGAAAGUAUACCUCAUCUGCAUGUAUGUAUUUCUCUCUCUCUGAUUAAUAAUUCUUUCCUCAAGCUAAAAAACCUUUCCUUUGGAGUCUGGUAUGUAUGUUCUUGUUUUAAUAAAAGUACAAGAGGGAAAUAAACAUUGUACAAUGAAGUUUUGUAUAUUAUAAAAUUGGUGACAUGCUUUGGGUGACAUACUAACGAUCUUUGCUGUCAGUCUUAGGAUUCUCUUUCCAGUACAGAGGGCUAUGUGAUCUUCCUUGACCAUUUCCUUCAAAUUUGCUCCUUACUUAUUGCUGUCCUUGUCCUGAGUCUAUUUCUUCUCCAGCUCUUGACUAACAAGUGCAAGUGCUUUUGCUGCUUCUGUAGCUCUAAUGUUUUCUCAGCUUUGUCAGUCUCUCUCUUCUCCAUUCAGUACAAUUGUGCUUUCUUUUACAGAAAAUCCAUAUUUCCACAUCUCAAGUUUCUUAUCUCAGUGGUAGUUUUACUUACAGAAGAAUUUAUUCCUCUCUUCAAUCUCUCUCCAGGCUGUCUCUUCCUGCAAAGAAAUACGCAGUCUCAGUAUUCAUAUUAGAAUAAUCCAAACUUUUCAUCAUGUCCUUGCUUACUCCCUA